GGGCUGGUAGUCCAGUCAGGAAAAGACACAGGCUUCCGGAGCCUGUAAUCCGGGUUCAAAUCCCGGCCAGCCCGCCA
This 77-nucleotide transfer RNA is filed under the name candidate division MSBL1 archaeon SCGC-AAA261G05. RNAcentral describes it as "tRNA-Arg". It matches the Rfam family "tRNA". From Rfam's summary of the family: Transfer RNA (tRNA) molecules are approximately 80 nucleotides in length. Lineage: Archaea; Methanobacteriati; Methanobacteriota. The record is from RNAcentral.